Beta vulgaris subsp. vulgaris (sugar beet) is the source of this 482-nucleotide long non-coding RNA. RefSeq lists it as uncharacterized. NCBI's taxonomy places the organism in Eukaryota, Viridiplantae, Streptophyta, Magnoliopsida, Caryophyllales, Amaranthaceae. The transcript has 3 exons. The record is from RefSeq and is a predicted model, not a curated record.
CUUGUGGUGAGCGAGCGAGGGAGUCCGUGAGUGCGAGGGACGCUGCGAGGCUCGCGAGCGUGACGCGGGCGACAGACGCGAGGGUGCGACGAGGUCGCGCGUGGUCGUGGGGCCGUGCGACGAAUCUGGUUCGAGCGUAGCUGUGCGACGAAGUUGUUGCGCCGUUGCCGGAAAUCGGUCGCCGGAAUUUGAUUUCCGGCGAGCUUAACGGUCCCAAUUUCAUAAGCGGAACGUUCGAUUAAGACAGCGAAAAUUCUCCGUUACAAGACUAGGUGUGCUGGUGCUGCUGCAUAAUCUCGAGCAUACGGGGACUAGGCUUGGGUAUUUACAUUUAAAGCAUUUUGAAAUAAGUAUUAUGUUUUUUUCUAAGACUUAUAUAUGGUUUGUGGUUUGAAUGAAAGGGGUCAUUGAUGAUUCCCGAGUUGUAUUUAUAUUUUAAUUCCGCUGCAUUUUAGUUUUCAAGUUAAUGUUUUAAGUUAUCG